Molecule: unclassified non-coding RNA, 446 nt
Filed under: Xanthorrhoea latifolia
Lineage: Eukaryota; Viridiplantae; Streptophyta; Magnoliopsida; Asparagales; Asphodelaceae
Description: partial miscellaneous RNA
Source: RNAcentral
GAUAUUGGGUAUGGCUUCUUCUUUGACUUUGAAUGAUUUAUUCUAUAUUUUUUUUUAUUCCCAAAAUWAACGACGAGAUUUUAUUAUCGUUUCUCGCAUGUCUCCGCGAAAGUCAGAGUAGGCGCGAAUUUYUCCCAAUUUGNUGACNCUACCAUACGAUCUGUUAUAUAAAUAGGUAAAUGUUCCUUUCCAUUAUGAAUAGCGAUUGUAUGGCCAAUCAUUGUGGGUAUAAUGGUAGAUGCCCGAGACCAAGUUACUAUUAUUUCUUUCUCCUCCCUCAUGUUGAGUUUUUCAAUUUUUCCCGAUAAAUGAUUAGCUACAAAAGGAUUUUUUUUUAGUGAACGUGUCACAGCUGAUUACUCCUUUUUUACAUUUUAAAGAUUGGCAUUCUAUGUCCAAUAGAAUAUCUCGAUCUAAGUAUGAAGGUAAGAAUAAAUACAAUAAUG